Molecule: long non-coding RNA, 1032 nt
Organism: Pezoporus flaviventris
Lineage: Eukaryota; Metazoa; Chordata; Aves; Psittaciformes; Psittacidae
Exons: 3
Source: RefSeq, a predicted model, not a curated record
AGCAUCACCCAGGACACAGCAUCACCCAGACACAACAUCACCCAGGACACAGCAUCACCCGGACACAACAUCACCCAGGACACAGCAUCACCCGGACACAGCAUCACCCAGGAAACACACAAGAUGCCAUGGGGAGCGGGAUGGGGUGAUCAGUAACUUAACCCCAGCAUCAGCAAGUGUUCAUUUCCCCAACACAGCUCCUUGUCUGUCCAGGCAUAGAUUGCAGAAUCAUUCAAGAGUGUUCAGUGUAAAUGACUGUGGGUACAAGGAGUGCUGGAGCUGCAGGCUGGGAGCGUUGCAGUGAAGUGCACAAGGCACCAGCUCAGGGAUGCUCCCCUAGAAGCAAUGGGAAGGGCGAAAAUAUUCUCCCUCCUGAACAACCCUCCGUAUCCACCAUCCCCCUGUAUCCGUCCCCUGCGUGAUGGAGCCCAUCGCCACAGAGCUGCAGGAUCUGAUGAGACCACAAAGAAGAGAAGCCUGGUUGGUUGGCCUGCACCAAGCCCCAGUCAGACAAUCCCCUACCAGGUUCAGGCAACCAGACAGAGAAAUAACAGGCGUUUUGAAAUGGUAAUGACUGAUCUGAGACAGUCAAAUGACUCAGCCACACCUCUUGGAGGUUGCCAAAGUCAUGCAGGAGCAGGGAGCCCUGCCUGCUGCUCAACUCUGGGCAGGGAAUGUGCAGUGCAGGCAGGAGAGUGCUGGGAGCUCCUGCAGAUGGGAAUGGAGGGGCUGUGGAUGGAUGUUCAGGAUGCCAGCCACAGGCACACCCAGGCAGGAACCUGAGUGCUCAGCCCUGGAUGCAGAGACCAUCGCAGUAGCUCAGCAAGAUGGAUUUGUUGUGAGCGGCUGCCCAUUGGCACCCAACAUAACCAAUGCAAUUAAGAGAGCAGCAGAUAAGAUGCCCUACAACGUGAAACAUGGAUCUGAGCGAACAAAGGGAGAACGGCGAACACCGGGAGACGCAUCCGUAUUUCUCAAUCAAUGUCUCCUCCUGCCUCAAUUCCAAAUCCUUCUUUCAAGAUUGAAAACCUU